This 253-nucleotide ribosomal RNA is filed under the name uncultured bacterium. RNAcentral's name for it is "partial 16S ribosomal RNA". It matches the Rfam family "Bacterial small subunit ribosomal RNA", at positions 524 to 776 of the family's 1533-position model. The record is from RNAcentral.
UACGAAGGGGACUAGCGUUGUUCGGAAUCACUGGGCGUAAAGCGCACGUAGGCGGAUGUGUCAGUCAGGGGUGAAAUCCCGGGGCUCAACUCCAGAACUGCCUUUGAUACUGGGAAGCUUGAGUCCGGGAGAGGUGAGUGGAACUCCGAGUGUAGAGGUGAAAUUCGUAGAUAUUCGGAAGAACACCAGUGGCGAAGGCGGCUCACUGGCCCGGUACUGACGCUGAGGUGCGAAAGCGUGGGGAGCAAACAGG